Molecule: non-coding RNA, 777 nt
Organism: Cinara cedri
Lineage: Eukaryota; Metazoa; Arthropoda; Insecta; Hemiptera; Aphididae
Source: the annotation of a GenBank genome assembly
GCGCGUACAGAUGCGACCUGAUCGCGGUGGUAGAAGAUGGCGGACGGCGGCUCCGAGGAUAAUAUUGUGCGAGCGAUCACGUGUGCGUCGAGAACGUAGGGCCGGUCGUGAGUCGUGAGCGACCCUUAAACGAGCGAGAAACACAAAUAAUGACCGAACGUGGAUAUGGCGACGCCGCCGUUUGAACGAUCGGUCGGCGGUAGGUGCCUAUACAGAAUGGUCGAUAGGUAUCAAUAUAGCGCACGAGUAAAAACGAACGGCGGCUAUAAGCGCCCUCGCGCACGUACGUUUUGGUAGACCGAAGUCGGUCGAGGCUCGCUGAGAGCGAACGAUAAAGGCGAAACGGGAAAUGUCCGACGGGCGAUAUACGACGGUAAUCCAAACGGGUAGGUAAAAAUGCACCCGUGACGGCAUCGGGUCGAUGAGACACGGGCGGUCCGACACAAGCGACACACAAGACGAAACAGAUUUGCGCGCACGGCGAAUACCAAUUCGUAUAAACCGCGACACGAUACGUCGGCUGCAAUACAAACGGACGCGGAAUCUUGAGGUUUUGACGAUGGCGGCACAUCGGAUCGUAUAAACGGUUUUGCGAAAGCACGUUUUGAACACACAACAAGGACGGAACGGUAGAACGCCCGUGGACACAUGGACAUAGCGUUAACGGACGAACGACAACGGAACGACGGCAGCAUGGCUGCCGUAGGCGACAAGCGCGACUCGGCGUCCUCUCACCCGACAAGUCCCGUUGCAACUUAUUGGACCGCAAUAACGGGG